UACGUAGGGUGCAAGCGUUAAUCGGAAUUACUGGGCGUAAAGCGUGUGCAGGCGGCUUUGUAAGACAGAUGUGGAAUCCCCGGGCUUAACCUGGGAACUGCAUUUGUGACUGCAUGGCUGGAGUGCGGCAGAGGGGGAUGGAAUUCCGCGUGUAGCAGUGAAAUGCGUAGAUAUGCGGAGGAACACCGAUGGCGAAGGCAAUCCCCUGGGCCUGCACUGACGCUCAUGCACGAAAGCGUGGGGAGCAAACAGG
RNAcentral lists this ribosomal RNA (253 nucleotides) under uncultured bacterium. RNAcentral describes it as "partial 16S ribosomal RNA". It matches the Rfam family "Bacterial small subunit ribosomal RNA", at positions 524 to 776 of the family's 1533-position model. The record is from RNAcentral.